This 253-nucleotide ribosomal RNA is filed under the name uncultured bacterium. RNAcentral describes it as "partial 16S ribosomal RNA". It matches the Rfam family "Bacterial small subunit ribosomal RNA", at positions 524 to 776 of the family's 1533-position model. The record is from RNAcentral.
UACGGAGGAUGCAAGCGUUAUCCGGAAUGAUUGGGCGUAAAGCGUCCGCAGGUGGCGAUGUAAGUCUGCUGUUAAAGAGUCUAGCUCAACUAGAUAAGAGCAGUGGAAACUACAUAGCUAGAGUACGUUCGGGGCAGAGGGAAUUCCUGGUGUAGCGGUGAAAUGCGUAGAGAUCAGGAAGAACACCAGUGGCGAAGGCGCUCUGCUAGGCCGCAACUGACACUGAGGGACGAAAGCUAGGGGAGUGAAUGGG